Pomacea canaliculata is the source of this 278-nucleotide long non-coding RNA. RefSeq lists it as uncharacterized. The record is from RefSeq and is a predicted model, not a curated record. The transcript is spliced from 2 exons. Lineage: Eukaryota; Metazoa; Mollusca; Gastropoda; Architaenioglossa; Ampullariidae.
UCCCUGACUUGCUCCACUGUCGUCCAGGCGUCUGCGGGCGGACCUGCUUGUUUUUCUCAAGUCUGUAUUUUACUUUGAGUGAGCAAAAACUUUCAACUUCAAACCAAGACGAUCUCUGAAAAAAAAACCAUGUAUAUCCAAUCUUCAAACCUCUGGUUUUCGGCUCUUCUUUGUGCUGGUAUCCUGUGUCAGGUGUACGUAAAAGCCCGACCCGCGAGUAAGGCCACGCCUAGUGAUAACGGCAAGAAAGAGGCGAACGACGUCAUCAGCGGCUCCCC